GUGCCAGCCAGCUGCGGUUAGACAAAAAGGACAAUUAGAUAAGUUCGGGCAACAGUUAUAGUUAGUUUGUAAAAUGAUAUUUUCAUUAAGAGUUAAAAGUGAAAUUUUAAACUUUUUAUUGUUAAAAUUUUAAUUACUAAUAAUUAGAGGCUGUAAAGGCUAAGAUUUAGACUAGGAUUAGAUACCCUAUUAUUCUUCUUUUAAAUUUAAUUGCUUGAGUAGUAAUCAGUUAUGAACUCGAAACUUAAAGGAUUUGGCGGUAUCUUAGUCUAGUUAGAGGAACCUGCUCCGUAAACGAUAAGCCACGAAUUAUCUUACUUUUACUUGUGUUCAGUAUGUAUACCUCCAUUAUUAAAUAAUAUUUAUAAGUAAAUAUUGUAAUAAAAUCGAUUUAGUAUAUUAGGUCAAGGUGCAGCUAAUGUAAAAGGUGUGGGUGGGUUACAAUGUAUUUAAUACUUGCGUAUAAAAGUUAUAAAAUCUUUUUGAAGUUGGAUUUAAUUGUAUUCUUAUUUUAAUAAGUUAAGAUGAUAUAAGCUCUAGGAUAUGUACACAUCGCCCGUCGCUCUCGUUAAUUCAUAAAGUGAGAUAAGUCGUAACAAAGUAGG
RNAcentral lists this ribosomal RNA (605 nucleotides) under Crinotonia attenuatus. Its description in RNAcentral is "partial 12S ribosomal RNA". Lineage: Eukaryota; Metazoa; Arthropoda; Malacostraca; Decapoda; Palaemonidae. The record is from RNAcentral.